This 2226-nucleotide long non-coding RNA is filed under the name Sus scrofa (pig). RNAcentral's name for it is "lncRNA (ENSSSCG00065006967.1)". The record is from RNAcentral. Lineage: Eukaryota; Metazoa; Chordata; Mammalia; Artiodactyla; Suidae.
UCACAUCAAAAACCAAACAAAAAUACAAAACCCAAAAGGAAUGAAGCAGUAAUGACACGCCUUAGAAAUUACCUGAAUGAAUCUUCUAGAACCAUGGACUAUCUAUAUUUCCCCAAACUCAAACACUCUCUCUUUUUUCAUCCCCCACCCCCCCGCCCCCCGUGUCUGGUUUAGAGGCUUCUCUGCAUCCAAGAGCAUUCCAGACAAAUCUCUAGUAACUCUAAAAUUUGAAAGGAUUUGCCCCACUGGAAGUGAUCUAAGGGCAGAAAGUGUAUGUACCCUUCCUUUAUCUUUUAUUCCCCUGCUUUGGCUCACUUAGUAGGCAUUCAAGUCAUGGCUGUUGCCCUAAAUCAAACCACAAAAUCAACAUUCCAGAAGAGCUCUGAGAAAAUAGACUGCCAACAUACCAUGGAGUUGAUCUGUACUACAGUUAAGUUUGAGUGCUUCAUCCAAGAAUUUACCCCAUGCAUCUUUCCUCUAAGCUCUAAUUUAUGCUCCUUCCUCCUCUCAGUAUAUUUCUUCCCAAACAUUGUCCACUGAAAUCCCAUCUACCUUCAAGGUCUCCAUCAGAUUACCUGUUCUCAAUGAACAUAUUUCUUAUUUUCCAACUAGAUAUAAUUCCUCUGUUUUUAACUCAUGGAUUUAUUUUUGUUCUUAUGAAUUUAAUAAGUUAAGUUUAGGCUCUCAUUUAUAUAUUUAUCUCCCUAAAUAUCUUUCUGCUUUUGUACUGGCUAUUAAGCUUUUGUACAUACCGAGUACUUUAUAAAUUGUUCUUUAAUUAAAUGCAAUUAAUCUAGGGCAAAACCAAUUUUUAGUAAUGUUAUGUCUUUAAUAGAUUAUAAAUAUUACAUUACAUAGAUCAUAACUAUAAAAAUGUUUUCUUUUAAAAAAUCGAGCUCUAUGAACAGAUUACAAAAAUAUAUAUAUGGAUUUUCACAGUAUUUAAUUGUAUUAAAUGUAAAUAAGAGGAUACAACUAACUAAACCAAAUCUUGUGAUUCUUGAUUCAGAUUCAAUUAAGAUUUUAUAAUAAACAAUUUGAUCUGGUACUUUUAGACAUUUUCUCUAUAUGGUGAACCAAUUUAAAAGAAUAAACUGCACUAAUCUUAAACUGGUUUAAAUAUGAGAAUAAAAACUAUUCAUAUUAAUCUAUUUUAAAUAUUAAAGCAGACUCUUCUACUUGAAAAUAUAUAUGCAUCAGAAAGAUCUGUAAUUCAGACUCCUCAAUUAACCAUUGAUCCAUUUUUGUUAAGUUUUAUGUGCUCCUUUAAUUUGAUUUUUUCACUGAUUUUGUAAUUAAAUAAAUUCAAGCUACUAGAAUCCUUAUCAUUCAUUUUCUCUCUUACAAGAUAAUUAAGUAUUGGGUUUUAAUCCCAUCAGGAGAGGGUUCUGAUAAUGUUCUUCCCCCUGUGGGUCCCACCCUUGUAGCCCCAGGGGGUGAAGCCUGCCAGGUUUCCAAAAGGAGAUAAAGUUUGGAGUGACUUCUCCACCUAAGGACCAGGACCAGGAAUCUGCCCCUUCCUUGGCCUCCCCUAGGAGUUGUCAUAUGACAAGUCAUUCCCAUCCAACCAUAAAGCAUUUGUUGACAAUAAGUAGAUGGUGUGUAUUUCAGUGUCUUCACAGAUGAGCUACAAGUUCUAUCAAAUCAUGCCUGUUGAGGAUUACUUUCUUGAAAUUGAACAUGGAAAUAUGUACUUAAGCCUUCAGCUAGGUCUGAGGGAGGAAGCCUUCAGUCAAGGCAAGUGCAAAUAUGCUCUCCUGGGCCAGAGUCUCCAAGAGGCCAGAUAAGGGGAUAUUCUGAGAGAGGAAGUUCCUAAAAACCAAGAAGUAAGGCCCUGUGGACAAAGGAAGAGGAAAGCAUUAUAGUCUCCGCUUACUUUCCAGCCAUUUUGUCACCAAGAGGCCUGAGCAUUUAUGAUUUCAAAGUCAUGGAAAGUCUAAGGAGUUCCCAUUGUGAUUCAGUGGCAAUGAACCUGAUUAGUGUCCAUGAGGAUGUGGGUUUGAUCCCUGGCCUCAGUUCAGUGGGUUAAGUGUGAGCUGCAGUGUAGGUUGCAGACACACCUCAGAUCUGGCAUUGCUGUGGCUGUGGCUAUGGCUGGCAGCUACAUCUCCAAUUCGACCCCUAGCCUGGGAAUUUCCAUGUAAAUAAACAUACAGUUUCAGUUCCUUCACUUUCCUUCCUAAAGAACCUUGUCUUUUUUUUUGGUGAAAUCCACUUCCCUUGCAC